This 346-nucleotide long non-coding RNA is filed under the name Citrus maxima (pomelo). RNAcentral describes it as "long non-coding RNA (CMAX_LNC000574)". Lineage: Eukaryota; Viridiplantae; Streptophyta; Magnoliopsida; Sapindales; Rutaceae. The record is from RNAcentral.
GGGUCAAGAAAUCUUGGGUAACAACAACGGUGGCGAUGGUUGAUUUCAAGGUGUUGUUUUGUGAGUGGUUGUGGCUACUGCGUGAUGGUUGUGGGUAGUGGCGAUGGGGGUGGUUGUGCUAUCAUCUAUUGUACGAUUCUAGGAAAAUAUGGUUUGUGACGAGUAGUGCUAUUGUGGUUGGAGUUGUUAGCUGCAACUUUGUGGGUGGCUAUUGCUAUCAUGUGAUGGUUGUGGGUGGUGGUAGUGGCGGUGAUUGUUGGUGGUGGUUGCUUCGAUGGCUAUAGUGUGAUCGAUUCAAGAGAGUGUGGGGUGGAGAAUAGUGCUCUAAUUGUGGUUGUCAUUCACG